GACGAACGCUGGCGGCGUGCUUAACACAUGCAAGUCGAACGGUAAGGCCCUUUCGGGGGUACACGAGUGGCGAACGGGUGAGUAACACGUGGGUGAUCUGCCCUGCACUUUGGGAUAAGCCUGGGAAACUGGGUCUAAUACCGGAUAGGACUACGCGAUGCAUGUCGUGUGGUGGAAAGCUUUUGCGGUGUGGGAUGGGCCCGCGGCCUAUCAGCUUGUUGGUGGGGUGAUGGCCUACCAAGGCGACGACGGGUAGCCGGCCUGAGAGGGUGUCCGGCCACACUGGGACUGAGAUACGGCCCAGACUCCUACGGGAGGCAGCAGUGGGGAAUAUUGCACAAUGGGUGCAAGCCUGAUGCAGCGACGCCGCGUGGGGGAUGACGGCCUUCGGGUUGUAAACCCCUUUCAGCACAGACGAAGCGUAAGUGACGGUAUGUGCAGAAGAAGCACCGGCCAACUACGUG
This 464-nucleotide ribosomal RNA is filed under the name uncultured bacterium. RNAcentral describes it as "partial 16S ribosomal RNA". It matches the Rfam family "Bacterial small subunit ribosomal RNA", at positions 28 to 507 of the family's 1533-position model. The record is from RNAcentral.